Molecule: long non-coding RNA, 620 nt
Organism: Pseudophryne corroboree (corroboree frog)
Lineage: Eukaryota; Metazoa; Chordata; Amphibia; Anura; Myobatrachidae
Exons: 3
Source: RefSeq, a predicted model, not a curated record
UCGCAUGCGCCAAGUUGCCUUUGCAAUUGCGCUCACACUGAGUUUUUUUAAUGCAGAGUGACAGAAGGGACCACUCCCACAGGGAAGAGUACACCGCUUAUGAAGCAACAGGCGGCAUGCAGGAAAGUGAUGGUCCUCAAAGAUGACUUCACUGAUUGUUAAGCCACAGGCUUGGCUAGGUUGGAGCCCCUUGCCGGAAAAGCAGGAAGCUUAGUUCGCGUGUGACUGCGCAGGGAGAUAGAUGUGCGCAAACGUCAAAAAGGUUUCUCUUCAAAAUGGAUCGCGAGGAACGUGAAUGGCAACAUAUUUUAUCUUUUUUAGAGGAAUCUGAUUCAGAACAAAGUGACCAUUUGACAGAAAGUGAGGUAAAUGCAGAUCACGAAAGAGAAAUGCAAAAGAGAAUCGGAGAUUUCCUUGGAGAGUCUUCUGAGGAGCCAUCAGCAAAAGUUCAAGGUGGACUGAAAAGAUGUCUAGUUUGCUAAAAAAAAGGUCGCAAGACCACCCACACAUGCACAAACUUACAAGUUUAUUUGGUCCGAACAUAUUGUUCUGUACUGCAGCAAGUGUGCUGAUAUGCUGCAAGAAAGUUAUUAGUAUAAUGGUGCCCAUUCACUUGUGCG